Molecule: ribosomal RNA, 1074 nt
Filed under: Bacillus pumilus
Lineage: Bacteria; Bacillati; Bacillota; Bacilli; Caryophanales; Bacillaceae
Description: bacterial SSU rRNA
Rfam family: Bacterial small subunit ribosomal RNA
Source: RNAcentral
CAUGCAGUCGAGCGGACAGAAGGGAGCUUGCUCCCGGAUGUUAGCGGCGGACGGGUGAGUAACACGUGGGUAACCUGCCUGUAAGACUGGGAUAACUCCGGGAAACCGGAGCUAAUACCGGAUAGUUCCUUGAACCGCAUGGUUCAAGGAUGAAAGACGGUUUCGGCUGUCACUUACAGAUGGACCCGCGGCGCAUUAGCUAGUUGGUGGGGUAAUGGCUCACCGGGGCGACUAUGCGUAGCCGACCUGAGAAACUUGAGUGCAGAAGAGGAGAGUGGAACUUCCACGUGUAGCGGUGAAAUGCGUAGAGAUGUGGAGGAACACCAGUGGCGAAGGGUGACUCUCUGGUCUGUAACUGACGCUGAGGAGCGAAAGCGUGGGGAGCGAACAGGAUUAGAUACCGUGGUAGUCCCACGCCGUAAACGAUGAGUGCUAAGUGUUAGGGGGUCUCCGCCCUUUAGUGCUGCAGCUAACGCAUUAAGCACUCCGCCUGGGGAGUACGGUCGCAAGACUGAAACUCAAAGGAAUUGACGGGGGCCCGCACAAGCGGUGGAGCAUGUGGUUUAAUUCGAAGCAACGCGAAGAACCUUACCAGGUCUUGACAUCCUCUGACAACCCUAGAGAUAGGGCUUUCCCUUCGGGGACAGAGUGACAGGUGGUGCAUGGUUGUCGUCAGCUCGUGUCGUGAGAUGUUGGGUUAAGUCCCGCAACGAGCGCAACCCUUGAUCUUAGUUGCCAGCAUUCAGUUGGGCACUCUAAGGUGACUGCCGGUGACAAACCGGAGGAAGGUGGGGAUGACGUCAAAUCAUCAUGCCCCUUAUGACCUGGGCUACACACGUGCUACAAUGGACAGAACAAAGGGCUGCAAGACCGCAAGGUUUAGCCAAUCCCAUAAAUCUGUUCUCAGUUCGGAUCGCAGUCUGCAACUCGACUGCGUGAAGCUGGAAUCGCUAGUAAUCGCGGAUCAGCAUGCCGCGGUGAAUACGUUCCCGGGCCUUGUACACACCGCCCGUCACACCACGAGAGUUUGCAACACCCGAAGUCGGUGAGGUAACCUUUAUGGAGCCAGCCGCC